Molecule: ribosomal RNA, 497 nt
Filed under: uncultured bacterium
Lineage: Bacteria
Description: partial 16S ribosomal RNA
Rfam family: Bacterial small subunit ribosomal RNA
Source: RNAcentral
GAUGAACGCUGGCGGCGUGCCUAAUACAUGCAAGUCGAGCGAACAGACGAGGAGCUUGCUCCUCUGACGUUAGCGGCGGACGGGUGAGUAACACGUGGAUAACCUACCUAUAAGACUGGGAUAACUUCGGGAAACCGGAGCUAAUACCGGAUAAUAUAUUGAACCGCAUGGUUCAAUAGUGAAAGACGGUUUUGCUGUCACUUCUAGAUGGAUCCGCGCCGCAUUAGCUAGUUGGUAAGGUAACGGCUUACCAAGGCGACGACGCGUAGCCGACCUGAGAGGGUGAUCGGCCACACUGGAGCUGAGACGCGGUCCAGACUCCUACGGGAGGCAGCAGUAGGGAAUCUUACGCAAUGGGCGAAAGCCUGACGGAGCAACGCCGCGUGAGUGAUGAAGGUCUUCGGAUCGUAAAACCCUGUUAUUAGGGAAGAACAAAUGUGUAAGUAACUAUGCACGUCUUGACGGUACCUAAUCAGAAAGCCACGGCUAACUACGUG